AGUCGGUCGUUCCCCUGUUAAGCGUGGUGCCUUCUCCCUGACAGAUGGCCAAUGACCGGGGAGAACCCGUAGGGCUGGUCUUCUGGCAGCGACGCCAUGCCCGUCAAAACCCAUGCCACUCGGCUGGGGUCUGCGCCAAAACUGGUGCUGUGCCGCUCUCUAGAUUUAGCUUUAGCUUCUCUGCUCCUCUGGCCCCUGAUGGGCAAGAAAGGGAAGGAAGCUAAGGCUGGCCUGGUGGGCGGAGACGGCGGCUGACCCAACCGCGAGUAGAGAGCUCGCUCCGCCGGAAGGGAUGCGCUAGGAUGGAAUCUUCCUACCGAGGCCGGCUCUUUCCGCUCCAGAGUGGGUGGAGGGCCGAGGGGGCCGCGGCCUAGCAGCUGGAGCUCGGCCUGGGAGAAUCGUCUCCAGCCUCUUGGGACUCGCCCUCGCCCAAGUCUUUAGCAGCUCCCAGCGGGGCGCAGAGCUUCCUGGAAGAUGCAGCCCAGUGAAGGGCGUGGAGCUUCCUUCGGCGCUUAUCCGUCUCCGAGCGUCGGCUGGGGUCGCUCGGCGGGACGCGGCAGGCGGGGACAGUGACCCCGGGGAGCCGCGCGGUCUCCCACCAGCGGCGUCGUCUGAGGGGCCGGGGGAAUCUAGAGCAGGCUGGCCGUGUCCGGGAAGCUCUGGGUUCUCCUUCCAUGCCUGUGAACCUGCUCCCACCCUCUCUACUUACUCCUUGACCUGGAGAUCUGCAGCUGAAAUAGAAAGAGCUUUCUUGUUUUGUUUUGUUUUGAUUAUGCAAGUAUGGCAUGCUUAGUGUAGAAAAGAAAGUUAAAGUGGAAAAUUAUACAGGCAUCCAUAUCCACAAGAUCAUUUCUAUAUACACCUUCUUGCCUUUGCUUGAACUUGCUGGAGGGCAGGAGCCAAGACUGUUCUGUGAAGACUGCUGAAGUGGUUGCUACUUUCCCCCAAGGAAGAAGGAACUUCAAAGUCCUUUUUUCCAGGAAUUUGGACAUAGUGGCAUGGACCAUGGAGAUGAGAGUAACACCCAGAGGUGGCAAAGCAAUAAGACAGAAGGUGCCUGGAUUCCUGAUGAUUGUGGAGCCACCAGACUAGCCCUGGAUUUAUACCCAGAUUAGCCCUGAGCUAACUACUGCCAAUCCUCCUCUUUUUGCUGGGGAAGACUGGCCCUGAGCUAACAUCCACGCCCAUCUUCCUCUACUUUAUAUGUGGGACGCCUACCACAGCAUGGUUUCCCAAGCGGUGCCAUGUCCUCACCCGGGAUCCAGACCAGCGAACCCCCGUCCGCCGAAGCGGAAUGUGUGCACUUAACUGCUGCGUCACCCAGCCGGCCCCUACAAUUUCAAAUUUUUUAACAUAAAGUUGUACAUAGUAUUCCCCUUUGAUUAAAAUUUUUUAAAUCAGCAUGUAUGGUUUUGGGAUCAUGAGAGGGCACUUUAAUGGCGGUGGAGCAGCAGGCUAGGACGAC
This 1465-nucleotide long non-coding RNA is filed under the name Equus caballus (horse). RNAcentral describes it as "lncRNA (ENSECAG00000044262.1)". The record is from RNAcentral. Lineage: Eukaryota; Metazoa; Chordata; Mammalia; Perissodactyla; Equidae.